AAGCACUCCCCUUUGCAGAGAGUGAAAAAAAUUCAUGUCCACAUCCUUUCAAUCCUUCUUAUCUCCUUAAUACUCUCUCAACGAGAAUUAGUGACUAAGAAACUAUCUGUGUGAUUUCUCGUUUUUCUUUUUUUCUUUGUUGCUUAAUUUUCAAGGUAAUUUUUAUUUUAGAGAGAGAGAGAGAGUGGUGAUGGAGUUUGAGGAUCAGGAAGAGCAUGAGGAGGAAGAGGAGAUAGGGUUGCCGGCGAGUUAUGACUCGUUGGGUAAUUCUUCCCGAGUCAAAAUGACGAGCUCUGCAGGUGAACAAGCAGCGACUGGAGCGGGACCCGUUCAGUCGACGAAGCCAAGGUAUAGAGAGUGUUUGAAGAACCACGCAGUGGGAAUCGGUGGACAAGCGGUGGAUGGGUGUGGUGAGUUCUUGGCUGCUGGAGCUGAAGGAACACUCGACGCGCUGAAAUGUGCCGCUUGUAACUGCCACAGAAACUUCCACCGCAAAGAAUCCAACGACUCAACAGCACCGGUUGGAGGAGGAGAACUGUUCUUCCACGGCCACCCUCACCCACAUCACCUCCAUCAUCAGGUGCCGCAAUUCGCUCCGUAUUACAGGACCCCAGCAGGAUACCUCCAUGUGGUUCCACCACAACAACGGCCUUUAGCAUUGCCAUCCACUUCGGGAGGUCAGAGUAGGGAAGAUCAAGAAGAUGUGUCGAAUCCAAGUGGUGGUGGAUUUGGAGGUGGCAGUGGGGGAGGGUCGUCGAGGAAGAGGUUUAGAACGAAGUUCACGCAGGAGCAAAAGGAUAGAAUGCUGGCACUGGCAGAGAGGUUGGGUUGGAGGAUUCAGAAACAUGAUGAAGCUGCGGUGCUGGAGUUCUGCAAUGAGACUGGAGUGAAGAGGCAUGUGCUUAAGGUUUGGAUGCAUAACAACAAGCACACUCUGGGUAAGAAACCCUAGGAAAUGGAAACCAAUCUUCUGGUAGGAAUCAAGGAUUUUAAAAGGAAGAAGUAGGGGGAAAUUUUCUCAAGUUGACAGCUUGGUGAAAAUUCUGGUACUAUCAUCUCAGGAUUUUUAGGUAGUUUUUGUAGGGUUUCUUUUGUUUCUGUUAGUAUUGUUUUCGCUUUUUAUUUUUAUCUUCUUGGAGGGGGGGUGCCGGUGCUGGUGGUGGUUUAUAUGUGGGCAGUAAUGGGGUUGGGAUGGUGAAUAUUAUGUCAGGUGGUUUUAGACUCUAAAGAAGAUUAAUGUUGAUGGCUAUUUUCAGUUUUUCAUUUCAGUGCUGCAUUUUGAAUUCUUGCUCUUGUGAGUUUCAGUGGUUAUUUUGCUUUGUUUUCUGCACCGGAAGCUGAGUGAGAAACUGGUUACUACUACAACAUACAUACAUGGAAAUUGGUAAGUGAGCUUUUUUCAAGGUUGCUCAAAGUCUUAGUCUACUGAUCAGCUGGUACGUUCUUCAUAUUGAUCCAAGAGAAAGAGAAAGGACAUGCUUGAAGCUGCGGCUAGGUCUGGUUCGUCACUGGAUUCUGAUUUUGCAUUUGCUUAAAUAUCAUGUUUGAGCCAUCUAAUUGAUCAAGUUUCCCUGAUAAAAACAUGCGGAAGCUGCAUUUUAAUACCCAUUUGCUUAUCUUUCAACUUCUGCGCCUUGUUUGCCAUUUAUUUCUUGUGCCUUGGUUUACUUCUUGCUCUGGUCUAGUUAGAUACAUAUCCUUAAGCUAAACACACAAUGAACAUUGUUGAUAAAAGAGAAGGGUUUCUGUAGAAAAUUUAUGGGUAAUAUUGAAUGAGCGAGUGCACUUUUAAAGUUUUAUACUUUCCUUGAAACAAAAUCCUUCCUCCUACAUUCAAUAUGGAUUCUUUUGGGCUUCUUGCUCCUGGGACUUUUCCUUCUCAUUUACAUUUUGCUUGCUUUAAUUCCUUCUUCUCCUUUUUGUUUCAUCUCCUUGUCUUUUGAAGGUGCUUGUACAACUUAAUGUUCAACCCAUGGGGCCUCCCACUGGUUUGUUUCUGCUGCCAAGUCUUUUGCUCUCUUUUCGCUGCAUUUACUUCUGCGGUCAUGAGUUCAGAGAUGCCGAUGAUAAUUUCAAUUUCAUUUUCCUUAAUUUUCUUUCUAUUUUCUUUCCUCCAAGAAAUAAAAUUAAUAUGCUGAUGCUGAAUCAUAAUACAUAUAUAUAUAUUUUAUAAACUGUGUAAUCAUAUGAUCGAUUUCAGAUACAGAAGGUAAACCAAUAUGUUUGAUCAUUGAUGAGUCACCUUGGGAAGGAAAGAGCUG
RNAcentral lists this unclassified non-coding RNA (2261 nucleotides) under Hevea brasiliensis (rubber tree). Lineage: Eukaryota; Viridiplantae; Streptophyta; Magnoliopsida; Malpighiales; Euphorbiaceae. The record is from RNAcentral.